UGGGGAAUCUUGCACAAUGGGGGCAACCCUGAUGCAGCGACGCCGCGUGAGCGAUGAAGCCCUUCGGGGCGUAAAGCUCUUUCGACCGGAACGAUAAUGACGGUACCGGGAGAAGAAGCUGCGGCUAACUACGUGCCAGCAGCCGCGGUAAUACGUAGGCAGCAAGCGUUGUUCGGAGUUACUGGGCGUAAAGAGUGCGUAGGCGGUUUUCUAAGUUCGGUGUGAAAUCUCCCGGCUUAACUGGGAGGGUGCGCCGAAGACUGGGGAGCUGGAGUGGGGGAAAGGCAGGCGGAAUUCCUGGUGUAGCGGUGAAAUGCGUAGAUAUCAGGAGGAACACCGGCGGUGUAGACGGCUUGCUAGACCAUAACUGACGCUGAGGCACGAAAGCGUGGGUAGCAAACA
RNAcentral lists this ribosomal RNA (402 nucleotides) under uncultured bacterium. RNAcentral's name for it is "bacterial SSU rRNA". It matches the Rfam family "Bacterial small subunit ribosomal RNA", at positions 355 to 774 of the family's 1533-position model. The record is from RNAcentral.